This 253-nucleotide ribosomal RNA is filed under the name uncultured bacterium. Its description in RNAcentral is "partial 16S ribosomal RNA". It matches the Rfam family "Bacterial small subunit ribosomal RNA", at positions 524 to 776 of the family's 1533-position model. The record is from RNAcentral.
UACAGAGGUCUCAAGCGUUGUUCGGAUUCAUUGGGCGUAAAGGGUGCGUAGGCGGCGCGGUAAGUCGGGUGUGAAAUCUCGGGGCUUAACUCCGAAACUGCAUUCGAUACUGCCGUGCUUGAGGACUGGAGAGGAGACUGGAAUUUACGGUGUAGCGGUGAAAUGCGUAGAUAUCGUAAGGAAGACCAGUGGCGAAGGCGGGUCUCUGGACAGUUCCUGACACUGAGGCACGAAGGCCAGGGGAGCAAACGGG